AUUGAACGCUGGCGGCAGGCCUAACACAUGCAAGUCGAGCGGAUGAAGGGAGCUUGCUCCUGGAUUCAGCGGCGGACGGGUGAGUAAUGCCUAGGAAUCUGCCUGGUAGUGGGGGAUAACGUCCGGAAACGGGCGCUAAUACCGCAUACGUCCUGAGGGAGAAAGUGGGGGAUCUUCGGACCUCACGCUAUCAGAUGAGCCUAGGUCGGAUUAGCUAGUUGGUGGGGUAAAGGCCUACCAAGGCGACGAUCCGCAACUGGUCUGAGAGGAUGAUCAGUCACACUGGAACUGGGACACGGUCCAGGCGCCUACGGGAGGCAGCAGUGGGGAAGAGUGGACAAUGGGCGAAAGCCUGAUCCAGCCAGGCCGCGUGUGUGAAGAAGGUCUUCGGAUUGGAAAGCACUUUAAGGUGGGAGGAAGGGCAGUAAGUUAAUACGUUGCUGUUUUGACGUUACCGACAGAAUAAGCACCGGCUAACUUCGUG
This 484-nucleotide ribosomal RNA is filed under the name uncultured bacterium. Its description in RNAcentral is "partial 16S ribosomal RNA". It matches the Rfam family "Bacterial small subunit ribosomal RNA", at positions 30 to 507 of the family's 1533-position model. The record is from RNAcentral.